GAUGAACGCUAGCGAUAGGCUUAACACAUGCAAGUCGAGGGGCAGCAUGGUCUUAGCUUGCUAAGACUGAUGGCGACCGGCGCACGGGUGCGUAACGCGUAUGCAACUUGCCUCACAGAGGGGGAUAACCCGUCGAAAGACGGACUAAUACCGCGUACACUUGGGAUAGGGCAUCCUGACCCAAGGAAAUGAAAUUCGCUGUGAGAUAGGCAUGCGUCCCAUUAGCUAGUUGGUGAGGUAACGGCUCACCAAGGCGACGAUGGGUAGGGGAACUGAGAGGUUGAACCCCCACACUGGUACUGGGACACGGACCAGACUCCUACGGGAGGCAGCAGUGAGGAAUAUUGGUCAAUGGGCGAGAGCCUGAACCAGCCAAGUCGCGUGAAGGAUGACUGUCUUAUGGAUUGUAAACUUCUUUUAUACGGGAAUAACAAGAGUCACGUGUGGCUCCCUGCAUGUACCGGAUGAAUAAGCAUCGGCUAACUCCGUG
This 490-nucleotide ribosomal RNA is filed under the name uncultured bacterium. RNAcentral's name for it is "partial 16S ribosomal RNA". It matches the Rfam family "Bacterial small subunit ribosomal RNA", at positions 28 to 507 of the family's 1533-position model. The record is from RNAcentral.